RNAcentral lists this unclassified non-coding RNA (336 nucleotides) under soil metagenome. RNAcentral's name for it is "partial contains 5.8S ribosomal RNA, internal transcribed spacer 2, and large subunit ribosomal RNA". The stretch from base 1 to 120 matches the Rfam family "5.8S ribosomal RNA", at positions 35 to 154 of the family's 154-position model. The record is from RNAcentral.
GAUGAAGAACGUAGCGAAAUGCGAUAAGUAAUGUGAAUUGCAGAAUUUAGUGAAUCAUCGAAUCUUUGAACGCACAUUGCGCCCGCCAGUAUUCUGGCGGGCAUGCCUGUUCGAGCGUCAUUUCAACCAUCAAGCCCCAGGCUUGUGUUGGGGACCUGCGGCUCCCGCAGGCCCUGAAAACCAGUGGCGGGCUCGCUGUCACACCGGGCGUAGUAGAUUUUAUCUCGCUCAGGGCGUGCUGCGGGUUCCGGCCGUUAAAAAGCCUUUUUUACCCAAGGUUGACCUCGGAUCAGGUAGGAAGACCCGCUGAACUUAAGCAUAUCAAUAAGCGGAGGA